CACGUAGGGCGCAAGCGUUGUCCGGAAUUAUUGGGCGUAAAGAGCUCGUAGGCGGUCUGUUACGUCUGCUGUGAAAACCCGGGGCUUAACCCCGGGCGUGCAGUGGAUACGGGCCGGCUGGAGGCAGGCAGGGGAGAAUGGAAUUCCCGGUGUAGCGGUGAAAUGCGCAGAUAUCGGGAGGAACACCGGUGGCGAAGGCGGUUCUCUGGGCCUGUACUGACGCUGAGGAGCGAAAGCCAGGGGAGCAAACGGG
Molecule: ribosomal RNA, 253 nt
Filed under: uncultured bacterium
Lineage: Bacteria
Description: partial 16S ribosomal RNA
Rfam family: Bacterial small subunit ribosomal RNA
Source: RNAcentral